RNAcentral lists this long non-coding RNA (2948 nucleotides) under Capsicum annuum. RNAcentral describes it as "long non-coding RNA (CANN_LNC021903)". Lineage: Eukaryota; Viridiplantae; Streptophyta; Magnoliopsida; Solanales; Solanaceae. The record is from RNAcentral.
UCAAUUUUCAUAGAUAUACAUAAAUGGCAUAAAUGCCUACAAAAGUUGCACAAAAAGGAUACAAUCUUUAGGGAAAGGAAAAUAACAUGAGAAAAAGAAUGAUGUCCCACGCAGGGGAUAGGAAAUACUAAUUCCCGAAUGCUUCUUCUAUCGGCCUUCGCCCUCUUAGCUUGGUUCACUUUUUGUUAGUGGCGACAUCCAUUGAUGAUCAAGCGAUUGCCGUAUACCUGUGCUCUAGAUGCAACCGUCCAAAUCGAUCAAUUUCUUGCUUGGCAUGCUUCAAUUCCUUCCUCAAUUGGUGUACGAUUGAGGCAUCCUUACACAAAAGUAAGUAAAGUAAGUCUUCUCCCGACCCCCAAAGGAUAUUGGAUUGGAUUAAACAAACAUAUAUUUCUUCAACAAAUAAAUAUGGUUCGUCUGUAAUUGACUCGGGGUCAAUAGACGCAGGGCAAGUUUUUUAAUGGGCCCAAUAACCCCUCGAGUAUUAGGUCUUCCUAGGCUCAUGCCUAAAAUAGGGUUUUGGUUUCGAUCUAUCCUAGGUGUCUAGAGUGGGUUUGAACCAGGUUUUCAAGCGGAUAACUUGGAUUUGGAAAUACAAAUAGUCAUCAGACGACUCACGUGCUAAUAAACCAUCGUAUUUCCAACAUUUUAUUUGGAAUUAAACAACAGGGGCCUGGACAUCUACGAAACCCCAAAACAACUUAAUAAAUCAAUGCAAGGUUAUGCUAUGAGAUGCAAUAAUUAAAUACCACGAAAUCAAAACAUAUAAACACAUAAAUAGUUAAUCAAAAGACAAAAUCAAAUAUUUAGUUAGAACCUAGUUGAAUAGUCCCCAGCGAAAUCGUCAUUUCUUUUUUGUAAAAAUUUUAACUUUUGAGAGUCGCCACUUAAUUUUUAAAAGGAAAUAAGAAACCUUCAUACGAUACUUUAAACGAUCCAAAAUAGAAAAAUCAUUUAAGUUUUGAAGAUUCUGAGUAAGCGCUUCUUAUUAACGUUUUAGGCACCUAAAACGUCCGCUAACUUGCGGUUAUCCAAGUUGUUUGAAAAUAUCUUUAGACUAACUUCAAAAGAUUGAUUGUUGAAAAGCCAUUGAUUUUAGAAAGCGAUUCGUGUAAAAUAGAUUUGGACGACUUAGUAGGGACUUUUUAAGUCUAAAGAAAUGAAAGGCAAAUAAACACAUAAAAAGGGAAAGGGAGGAGGAAAUAAAAGACUUAGGCCAUUGGACCCAAAUCAACAAAACCUGUCCUAAUCUAGUUGGGCUUGGGUUUUCGACCCAUUUUUCACCUGUCCUAAUCUACGUUUGCGAGUUUUUCGACCCAAAAUCCGCUCCACCUAUAUUAAAUUUACAUCUUUGGCUUCGAGUCACAAAUGAAUGAAGAAAUAGAUAAAUAAACAGACUAAUUAAAUAAAAGUAAAAGACAACAAUAAUAAUAAAUAAUAUGAGAAUUUUAAGUCUCUUAGCUACUUUGCCAAUGGGUUUCAGCCCGUUUUCUUCCAUCUUCUUGUAUCCAUGUGCUACAUAACCGGCUCUGAAUUUCCUUUUGGGCUUGAUCCGAUAGAUGUGGUGGGCCUCGAUGGCCCAUUAAGAGAUGCAAAGGGGAGCCCAUUUGGGCUCCGAAACGGGUGUACAUGCAAAGAAAGAAGAAUGAAGGAAAUUAAUACAUGAUUAACCCAAAAGAAAGGGAAAACAAAGGGAACAACUUUUAUUCAUCUUAACAGUUAUUGAUCUAGAAAUAGCUAUAAGGAUUUUCCAGACGUUUUAAAGAUCAAGGCUUUUGUAAUUCCUUAAUGUGAUGGUAAAUCUACUGAUUUUGUCAUUACACGAAACCUUUAUUUAGACAACCAAUCAACAUCAAGGAAAUUAGCUACUAAAGAACGAAGAAACAUUUCAAUUUUAACACAAAAUAACCAUUCAAAUUAGCUAGAACUAAGUGAGUGGGCAGAAUACAUUUAUUAAAAUUAGGGCAGAAUCUGCAACUAUACCCGAACAUGCCAAUUCCAAAAUUGCACCUACGGCGAUCUAAAAAUAGAUGAUCCAAGAAGAACAAUAAAACUACUAGGAAAGCAAUAUGCCAAUUCGGAAAAGACUAUCUACAUGAGCAACAGCUAAGUUAAUACGAACAACUAUUAAGCGGCCAGUACAAAUAUCCCUUGGUCUAUAACAAUUAUCUAGAAAUGAAAACGAACGCAACCAUUCUCCAAAACACGGUCUUACAAAACUUCAAGAGUUUUAGACCCUGAAAUUAUUAUCUAAAUGGGGGAAGAAAAUGAUGCAAACCAGGUUCAAGAAAAAUCUGCAAGCUAUAUGGAUUUUUCAACAUCAAAGACAGCCAACGAUUAUUGGGGAUUCAUAGGGAGAGUUCUUAUUCACGAUAAUGAAUGGAAAAAGCAAGUAGAAAAUUCCCACUUAACAAAAGAAAUUCAUGCACAGACCAAAGAAAAACAAAGCAUAGCCAAGAACAGGUAUUACUAUCAUUCAUAUGUAAGGAAAAAGAAACUUUCUGCAUUAUUGGACAUGAGAACAAAAUAGGAUGCUAUUUUCUUGAUUAUGCUCCUACAAAGAUUCUAACUUUAGGCUUAUGAUCAAAAAUCAGACAACGUCAAACCAGCAUGAGGUCGCAGAUUUUAAUGAAAAAGCCAAAACAAACAGAGAUGAAACCAUGAACCAAGAAAUUAGACACUUAAGAAAAAAUUAUCACUGCCAUAUUAUAGACCUUACAUUCAUCAGUCAAACUCAUGGCAUUUGGAGCCCCUAUAGCAAAUAAUCACAAUAUCACCAUAAUUAUAAACAUACAACGACCUAUACAAUAGAACUCACUUUUAUCAUUCGAAAAGACCACACAGCCUCUACGACAGACCUCACUUUCAUCAUUCAAAGAACCAUAACCCACAGAGAAAAGGGACGAAGAAGAAAUAUACUGAUAAAAUCAAGCGGGGAAAGGUAUAUU